GCCGAGAUAGCUCAGUUGGCAGAGCACAUCCAUGGUAAGGAUGGGGUCGCGGGUUCAACUCCCGCUCUCGGCUCCA
Molecule: transfer RNA, 76 nt
Filed under: Candidatus Omnitrophota bacterium
Lineage: Bacteria; Pseudomonadati; Candidatus Omnitrophota
Also listed under: 1 other name
Description: Candidatus Omnitrophica bacterium tRNA-Thr
Rfam family: tRNA
About the family: Transfer RNA (tRNA) molecules are approximately 80 nucleotides in length. Their secondary structure includes four short double-helical elements and three loops (D, anti-codon, and T loops).
Source: RNAcentral